GACGUAGGGCGCGAGCGUUGUCCGGAUUUAUUGGGCGUAAAGGGCGCGCAGGCGGCCACGCACGUCCGUUGUGAAAUCGCUCGGCUCAACUGGGCGGGGUCAGCGGAUACGGCGUGGCUGGAGCAAGCUAGGGGGCAAUGGAAUUCCCGGUGUAGUGGUGGAAUGCGUAGAUAUCGGGAGGAACACCAGUGGCGAAGGCGGUUGCCUGGAGCUUUGCUGACGCUGAGGCGCGAAAGCGUGGGGAGCGAUCCGG
Molecule: ribosomal RNA, 253 nt
Filed under: uncultured bacterium
Lineage: Bacteria
Description: partial 16S ribosomal RNA
Rfam family: Bacterial small subunit ribosomal RNA
Source: RNAcentral